This 496-nucleotide ribosomal RNA is filed under the name uncultured bacterium. RNAcentral describes it as "partial 16S ribosomal RNA". It matches the Rfam family "Bacterial small subunit ribosomal RNA", at positions 28 to 523 of the family's 1533-position model. The record is from RNAcentral.
GAUGAACGCUAGCGGCAGGCCUAAUACAUGCAAGUCGAGGGGUAUCCCGCUUUCGGGCGGGAGAGACCGGCGCACGGGUGCGUAACGCGUAUGCAACCUACCCAUAUCUGGGGGAUAGCCCGGAGAAAUCCGGAUUAACACCGCAUAAAAUCACAGUACGGCAUCGUACAAUGAUCAAAUAUUGAUAGGAUAUGGAUGGGCAUGCGUGUCAUUAGCUGGUUGGCGGGGUAACGGCCCACCAAGGCGACGAUGACUAGGGGAUCUGAGAGGAUGGCCCCCCACCCUGGUACUGAGACACGGACCAGACUCCUACGGGAGGCGGCAGUAAGGAAUAUUGGUCAAUGGGCGGAAGCCUGAACCAGCCAUGCCGCGUGCAGGAAGACGGCCCCCUGGGUUGUAAACUGCUUUUAUUCGGGAAUAAACCUGCAUACGUGUAUGCAGCUGAACGUACCGAAGGAAUAAGGAUCGGCUAACUCCGUGCCAGCCGCCGCGGUAA